ACAUGCUGAUUGCUGCCAAGAAAUGAAGGCGAAUCAGUCACAGAUCUCCACUGAGAGAGAAGAAACCUCAUCAAAGGCAGGUUCCAAAGGCAAGCGAGGAGCUAACACAUUCCCUUCAUACUGCACACUUGGGGAAGCAAGAAGCUGGUUUAGAUGCUUUGUGGGAAGGAAGGAAAGAAGCUGUGGAUAGGCAGAACAGGCAACCACCUGUGGAAGGUCAUCAGGAAGCCACAUCCACCUGUCCAUCACCUAUGCACUUAGUCCACUCCUUUUGUUUGAUAGAAGGAAAAUACACCCUUGAAUGACAAGAAGGGACACUGAAGAAAUUUGGGGGACUAAGACCACAAAAUUUCAGACCAACUAAGGCAUAUCAUCUUAAUAAGGUGAAGUAUCAGAACCUACCACCAAGGCACCGAAGAGUGGAAUGAUUCCAAGUGAUGAUUUGCAGCUGAGAUAGGGAAUAACUCUGAUGUCUAACAAAUCCUUUUACAAAUCAGGUUUCUAAUAUUUUGCUUUCAAUAAAAUUAAGUUAUUGAAGUAUGGAUUCUUCAAAAUAAAUUUGACUGCUUGAUAA
Molecule: long non-coding RNA, 574 nt
Organism: Marmota monax (woodchuck)
Lineage: Eukaryota; Metazoa; Chordata; Mammalia; Rodentia; Sciuridae
Exons: 3
Source: RefSeq, a predicted model, not a curated record